GCCUUCGUGGUGUAGCGGUCAGCACGCUCGACCGUAACCGAGAGAUCCGUGGUUCGAUUCCCGGCGAAGGCG
This is a non-coding RNA of Stegodyphus mimosarum, 72 nucleotides long. The record is from Rfam. Lineage: Eukaryota; Metazoa; Arthropoda; Arachnida; Araneae; Eresidae.